CUGGUCCUGGGGCUUCCAUCCACCCGGGUUUGCCCGUCACGGACGUGAGGCUUCUGCAGAGGCCUCUUCCGGGACACUCAGCCCCGGGACGCCAUCCAAGUCGGCGGCUCCGCUGCAGAGCUGCUGGGACGGGAGGCAGCAGCCCAGGCGGGCCUGCGGAGACAAGAUAAAGCUGCGACACAUGCCAUCCUGCCAGAGGGAGGGUGGCCGGGCUCCCACAGGACCCUGGACGGAUGAGAGGGUGCGCCCAACGCCUCAAAGCCGGCCGGGCAUGGGGCUGCCCCAUGUCCAGUGCGAUUUCAGGGACCGAGUUUUACUUACCUGCUUCAGACUCUAACCAGGCCCCUCUGGCUGUCAGGAGAACCCCCAGGCCCUUCAGGGUCACGUCCCGGGACCUGACCAGCCUGCUUUGUCUCCUCCUGCCCUAAAGAAGCUCAUCUGAAUUUAUGUCCCAAACUGGGAUCCUCUGGGAGUGAACAGGACAGGCUGCCAUCAGCAGUGGCUCUGGAGCAGCAGACAGAAGGCAGGACCGUCCCUGGCAACCUCGCCGUGCACACCCGACACCGACACCCACACCCACGCUCGGCCCACGGACCCCAC
Long non-coding RNA from Camelus dromedarius (Arabian camel), 600 nucleotides. RefSeq lists it as uncharacterized. The transcript is spliced from 3 exons. The record is from RefSeq and is a predicted model, not a curated record. Lineage: Eukaryota; Metazoa; Chordata; Mammalia; Artiodactyla; Camelidae.